UUCGGGGGUACUCGAGUGGCGAACGGGUGAGUAACACGUGGGCAAUCUGCCCUGCACUUCGGGAUAAGCCUGGGAAACUGGGUCUAAUACCGGAUAGGACCUUUAGACGCAUGUCUUUUGGUGGAAAGCUUUUGCGGUGUGGGAUGGGCCCGCGGCCUAUCAGCUUGUUGGUGGGGUGACGGCCUACCAAGGCGACGACGGGUAGCCGGCCUGAGAGGGUGUCCGGCCACACUGGGACUGAGAUACGGCCCAGACUCCUACGGGAGGCAGCAGUGGGGAAUAUUGCACAAUGGGCGCAAGCCUGAUGCAGCGACGCCGCGUGGGGGAUGACGGCCUUCGGGUUGUAAACCUCUUUCACCAUCGACGAAGGUUCGGGUUUUCUCGGAUUGACGGUAGGUGGAGAAGAAGCNNCGGNCAACUACGUGCCAGCAGCCGCGGUAAUANGUAGGGUGCGAGCGUUGUCCGGAAUUACUGGGCGUAAAGAGCUCGUAGGUGGUUUGUCGCGUUGUUCGUGAAAUCUCACGGCUUAACUGUGAGCGUGCGGGCGAUACGGGCAGACUAGAGUACUGCAGGGGAGACUGGAAUUCCUGGUGUAGCGGUGGAAUGCGCAGAUAUCAGGAGGAACACCGGUGGCGAAGGCGGGUCUCUGGGCAGUAACUGACGCUGAGGAGCGAAAGCGUGGGGAGCGAACAGGAUUAGAUACCCUGGUAGUCCACGCCGUAAACGGUGGGUACUAGGUGUGGGUUUCCUUCCUUGGGAUCCGUGCCGUAGCUAACGCAUUAAGUACCCCGCCUGGGGAGUACGGCCGCAAGGCUAAAACUCAAAGNAAUUGACGGGGGCCCGCACAAGCGGCGGAGCAUGUGGAUUAAUUCGAUGCAACGCGAAGAACCUUACCUGGGUUUGACAUGCACAGGACGCGUCUAGAGAUAGGCGUUCCCUUGUGGCCUGUGUGCAGGUGGUGCAUGGCUGUCGUCAGCUCGUGUCGUGAGAUGUUGGGUUAAGUCCCGCAACGAGCGCAACCCUUGUCUCAUGUUGCCAGCGGGUAAUGCCGGGGACUCGUGAGAGACUGCCGGGGUCAACUCGGAGGAAGGUGGGGAUGACGUCAAGUCAUCAUGCCCCUUAUGUCCAGGGCUUCACACAUGCUACAAUGGCCGGUACAAAGGGCUGCGAUGCCGCAAGGUUAAGCGAAUCCUUUUAAAGCCGGUCUCAGUUCGGAUUGGGGUCUGCAACUCGACCCCAUGAAGUCGGAGUCGCUAGUAAUCGCAGAUCAGCAACGCUGCGGUGAAUACG
This 1290-nucleotide ribosomal RNA is filed under the name Mycobacterium intracellulare. RNAcentral describes it as "bacterial SSU rRNA". It matches the Rfam family "Bacterial small subunit ribosomal RNA", at positions 80 to 1370 of the family's 1533-position model. The record is from RNAcentral. Lineage: Bacteria; Bacillati; Actinomycetota; Actinomycetes; Mycobacteriales; Mycobacteriaceae.